AUGGUCACAUCUUCGUCUCACAAGGCACCAAGUGGACCGAUGACAAGGGCUCAUGCAAGAGUCAUCGAAACCGAGGUGAACUCCCUCAUUCAACUUCCUUUCGAAUCACAUGAGACAUGGCUACUACCUCAAGCGGAGACACUUUGCAUAUUUAGGUACCAAAGGACGAGCCAUGGAGAAGCUAGAGAACAAGGCCAAGCGGUUGAGGAAGAAGAAUGUGAAGACGAAGAGCAAACGAGACAAGUCAACAUCCACCCGGAUGAUCUAGACCUCCUUCCAGACGAUCCAGCCAAGGCGUCCGAAGACACCCGUAGCCUCUCCAUGAAGCCGGAUCAUCUGGAACUCCACCCAGAUCAUUCGGACGAAUCCGGACGUCCGGACGACGUCCUGGACAUCCGACCCGGCCACAACAGCAGUGACCGAGCCGCAUCAUCCGGGUGA
RNAcentral lists this ribosomal RNA (441 nucleotides) under Triticum aestivum (bread wheat). RNAcentral describes it as "partial small subunit ribosomal RNA". Lineage: Eukaryota; Viridiplantae; Streptophyta; Magnoliopsida; Poales; Poaceae. The record is from RNAcentral.